Sorex fumeus (smoky shrew) is the source of this 133-nucleotide small nucleolar RNA. RefSeq annotates it as small nucleolar RNA SNORA68. Lineage: Eukaryota; Metazoa; Chordata; Mammalia; Eulipotyphla; Soricidae. The transcript has a single exon. The record is from RefSeq and is a predicted model, not a curated record.
GGAGUAUCCAAGCCCAAAGCUGCCCCUCCUCAUAGCGGAAGCUUAAACAGUGGUGCUGACAAGCAAGCGAAUCUAGUCACCUUUGGGGGACUGAGCUGUGCCCCCACAGAGCAUAUUUAGAGGUUCUACACCA